This is a long non-coding RNA of Ananas comosus (pineapple), 1511 nucleotides long. RefSeq lists it as uncharacterized. The transcript is spliced from 7 exons. NCBI's taxonomy places the organism in Eukaryota, Viridiplantae, Streptophyta, Magnoliopsida, Poales, Bromeliaceae. The record is from RefSeq and is a predicted model, not a curated record.
CAUAGGAAUAUUAUAUAUAUAUAUAUAUAUAUAGGUAGAUAAUAGAGUGUUUAGUAAUUAUCAUUGAUUCUCAUGUUAUUAUGUUUCAUAAAUGUGGUAAGUCUUAUUAAGGAAAAAAUUGUGUAUGAAGUUGAUCAAUGAGAAGAUCCAGCUGCUAGAUGUUAUCUAAUUAAGUAGUUCAUAAAAUGAUAAAUGAAUCUCAACAUAUGAAACUAGUACAUUGGGUGUCCCUGGAGUUCUCUGCAUAUACAGAGCCAGAAUAUUCUCUUCAUUAUCAUAUCCCUACACUUGCUUUUUUAGAUUGUUGAUUUGUUUUGCAUAAAAUACUUAGUUUGGCCAGUACAUAUAUAGUGUAAGAAGCAUAAUGAAUAGGCUUUUAUAUAUAUAUAUUCAGCGAUCAAUCGAUCUACUCUAGUCUUAUUCUGUCGACGGUGUUGUUCAUUUUGGUUUGCUAAGGGCAUUUCAAUAACAACUAUUAUAAAUGCUCUCUCCUCCCUCUUCCCCUCCUCCCUCUUCCUCCGCGUCCUCUCCAAGCUCCGAUCCCAGUCCCAAAUCGCUCUGACAUUCACCCCGAUCUUCUCGGCCCCGCAAGGACGAUCCUUGACCCGGCGAUCUGAUCCGAGCCCUCGACGGUGCCGCUUCUCGAUUCGUUGCUCCGAUCCAUUGGACUAAAUUUUAAAAAAUUGAAACAAGAAGAGCAAUCCACAAUCACCUUAUGCCGUGACUGGUGCCGCAAUUGAUCUUCUCAAUCCAAACAUUGCUUGUGCCCUCGCCGAUCGAGAUGGAGUCGUCGCCAGUCUUUAUGCUGCUGCUUGUGACGAUGACGUCGCUCGACAUCUGGAUGUGGAUGCUGUCAGUGUUGGGGCUGUUACCGAGCGCAGUGAUCUUCGCGCCUUGCACCGUCACACCGUUACUGCCGAAAAUGGAGAUGUGGAAGCCCUCGCUCUUCACCGUCGAUAGCCCGCUGAUGAGGAUGUUGUUUGAUUCAGCAAUAAGCCACAAUGGUUUCCAAAGGAUGGCUACGAAGAACACUUACAAGUGAAAUAUCUGGCCCCAGCGUUACUAUCAAUGUUGCUUUUGCCUUCCCUUCUUCAAGGCUCUCCCAGUAGAAUUAUAAAUGUUAACUCCAUUUGAUUCCGGGAAAAGGCUCAGCUGUUGGAGUCGGCCGUGGACGUGCUGUUGCUAUGCGCGCUAGGGGUAUGAAAGUUGUCUUUCAAGUUGGGUUGGCUUUAUUGAGAUUUUGCCAUAAUGACGUGCUUGUUGACUCAAGUGUGAUUUGAUAACUGGAUCAUCUAGUUAAUUUCACUCUCUUAUCCUGGGAUUAGGGAAUAAAUUUCUUUCGCACAUUCGUGAAAUGGAUUCCAUACUCCAGAACAGCUGGAACUACGGAAAUUGAAGUAGGAAGCAAGAGUUUCAACCAUGCGGUGUUUGUUAAUUUUUGGCUACAUUUUGAACAAGUAUUUUUUGUUAGAACUUAUGUUCGAAAUUUAAUUUGAAUAUUGAGAUUGUAA